CAAUAGCGUAUAUUAAAGUUGUUGCAGUUAAAAAGCUCGUAGUUGGAUUUGUGGCGUACGGUGGGUUCCGGGCACUUGUUGUCUGAGUAACUUGCUGUUGCCAUCCUUGGGUGGAACCUGUGUGGCAUUAGGUUGUCGUGCAGGGGAUGCCCAUCAUUUACUGUGAAAAAAUUAGAGUGUUCAAAGCAGGCUUAUGCCGUUGAAUAUAUUAGCAUGGAAUAAUGAGAUAGGACUUUUUUGCUAUUUUGUUGGUUUGCGCAAAGAGGUAAUGAUUAAUAGGGACAGUUGGGGGCAUUCGUAUUCCAUUGUCAGAGGUGAAAUUCUUGGAUUUUUGGAAGACGAACUACUGCGAAAGCAUUUACCAAGGAUGUUUUCAUUAA
This 380-nucleotide ribosomal RNA is filed under the name uncultured eukaryote. RNAcentral describes it as "partial 18S ribosomal RNA". It matches the Rfam family "Eukaryotic small subunit ribosomal RNA", at positions 592 to 976 of the family's 1831-position model. The record is from RNAcentral.